GAUGAAGAACGCAGCGAAAUGCGAUAAGUAAUGUGAAUUGCAGAAUUCAGUGAAUCAUCGAAUCUUUGAACGCACAUUGCGCCCGCCAGUAUUCUGGCGGGCAUGCCUGUUCGAGCGUCAUUACAACCCUCAGGCCCCCGGGCCUGGCGUUGGGGAUCGGCGGAAGCCCCCUGUGGGCACACGCCGUCCCUCAAAUACAGUGGCGGUCCCGCCGCAGCUUCCAUUGCGUAGUAGCUAACACCUCGCAACUGGAGAGCGGCGCGGCCAUGCCGUAAAACACCCAACUUCUGAAUGUUGACCUCGAAUCAGGUAGGAAUACCCGCUGAACUUAAGCAUAUCAAUAAGCGGAGG
This 351-nucleotide unclassified non-coding RNA is filed under the name soil metagenome. RNAcentral's name for it is "partial contains 5.8S ribosomal RNA, internal transcribed spacer 2, and large subunit ribosomal RNA". The stretch from base 1 to 120 matches the Rfam family "5.8S ribosomal RNA", at positions 35 to 154 of the family's 154-position model. The record is from RNAcentral.